RNAcentral lists this long non-coding RNA (338 nucleotides) under Hordeum vulgare. RNAcentral's name for it is "long non-coding RNA (HVUL_LNC009759)". Lineage: Eukaryota; Viridiplantae; Streptophyta; Magnoliopsida; Poales; Poaceae. The record is from RNAcentral.
UUUAUUAUUUUUUCCUUGCGAAUAUAGUAUUUCAGGAAUAUGCAAUAUUUUCGCCCGUAUCUUUUAAUCCGUGCAUCGGAUUGCGACAAGUUAUAUAUAUAACUCGGCUAGAAUUUCACGUAGAUUAAUAUUUUCCAACUCUCAUGCAUAUUCAGAUUUGUUUAGCAUGCUGUUUGCAUCAGUUUGCGUGUCGACAUGUUAGAAACGGUUUAGCUCAUAGUUAUUUAACCGUAGCUCCGUUGGAGAUGAGCCAUAUAUGUAAGUGGACUACAACGGCGAGUAGAAUCACGUGAACCACUUUUUUUUAUCGUUUAACAAACAUAAAAUAUGAUUAGGAG